UGGGGAAUAUUGGACAAUGGGCGAAAGCCUGAUCCAGCCAUGCCGCGUGAGUGACGAAGGUCUUCGGAUUGUAAAGCUCUUUUGGCGGGGACGAUAAUGACGGUACCCGCAGAAUAAGCCCCGGCUAACUUCGUGCCAGCAGCCGCGGUAAUACGAAGGGGGCUAGCGUUGUUCGGAAUUACUGGGCGUAAAGCGCACGUAGGCGGAUUUGUUAGUCAGGGGUGAAAUCCCGGGGCUCAACCUCGGAACUGCCUUUGAUACUGCAAGUCUCGAGUCCGGAAGAGGUGAGUGGAAUUCCUAGUGUAGAGGUGAAAUUCGUAGAUAUUAGGAAGAACACCAGUGGCGAAGGCGGCUCACUGGUCCGGUACUGACGCUGAGGUGCGAAAGCGUGGGGAGCAA
This 399-nucleotide ribosomal RNA is filed under the name uncultured bacterium. RNAcentral's name for it is "bacterial SSU rRNA". It matches the Rfam family "Bacterial small subunit ribosomal RNA", at positions 355 to 771 of the family's 1533-position model. The record is from RNAcentral.